This 253-nucleotide ribosomal RNA is filed under the name uncultured bacterium. RNAcentral describes it as "partial 16S ribosomal RNA". It matches the Rfam family "Bacterial small subunit ribosomal RNA", at positions 524 to 776 of the family's 1533-position model. The record is from RNAcentral.
UACGUAGGGUGCGAGCGUUGUCCGGAAUUAUUGGGCGUAAAGGGCUCGUAGGCGGUCUGUCACGUCGGGAGUGAAAACACGGGGCUUAACCCCGUGCCUGCUUCCGAUACGGGCAGACUAGAGGUAUGCAGGGGAGAACGGAAUUCCUGGUGUAGCGGUGAAAUGCGCAGAUAUCAGGAGGAACACCGGUGGCGAAGGCGGUUCUCUGGGCAUUACCUGACGCUGAGGAGCGAAAGCGUGGGUAGCGAACAGG